AACGAACGCUGGCGGCAGGUUUAACACAUGCAAGUCGAACGCCCCGCAAGGGGAGUGGCAGACGGGUGAGUAACGCGUGGGAAUCUACCUAGUUCUACGGAACAACACAGGGAAACUUGUGCUAAUACCGUAUACGCCCUACGGGGGAAAGAUUUAUCGGAAUUAGAUGAGCCCGCGUAAGAUUAGCUAGUUGGUGGGGU
This 200-nucleotide ribosomal RNA is filed under the name uncultured bacterium. RNAcentral describes it as "partial 16S ribosomal RNA". It matches the Rfam family "Bacterial small subunit ribosomal RNA", at positions 29 to 258 of the family's 1533-position model. The record is from RNAcentral.